RNAcentral lists this ribosomal RNA (640 nucleotides) under Calonarius humolens. RNAcentral describes it as "eukaryotic LSU rRNA". It matches the Rfam family "Eukaryotic large subunit ribosomal RNA", at positions 1 to 626 of the family's 3401-position model. The record is from RNAcentral. Lineage: Eukaryota; Fungi; Basidiomycota; Agaricomycetes; Agaricales; Cortinariaceae.
UGACCUCAAAUCAGGUAGGACUACCCGCUGAACUUAAGCAUAUCAAUAAGCGGAGGAAAAGAAACUAACAAGGAUUCCCCUAGUAACUGCGAGUGAAGCGGGAAAAGCUCAAAUUUAAAAUCUGGCAGUCUUUGGCUGUCCGAGUUGUAAUCUAGAGAAGCAUUAUCCGCGCUGGACCGUGUACAAGUCUCCUGGAAUGGAGCGUCAUAGAGGGUGAGAAUCCCGUCUUUGACACGGACUGCCAGGGCUUUGUGAUGUGCUCUCAAAGAGUCGAGUUGUUUGGGAAUGCAGCUCAAAAUGGGUGGUAAAUUCCAUCUAAAGCUAAAUAUUGGCGAGAGACCGAUAGCGAACAAGUACCGUGAGGGAAAGAUGAAAAGAACUUUGGAAAGAGAGUUAAACAGUACGUGAAAUUGCUGAAAGGGAAACGCUUGAAGUCAGUCGCGUUGUCCAGGGAUCAAUCUUGCUUUUGCUUGGUGUACUUUCUGGUUAACGGGUCAGCAUCAAUUUUGACUAUUGGAAAAAGAUUGAGGGAAUGUGGCAUCUUUGGAUGUGUUAUAGCCCUUGGUUGCAUACAAUAGUUGGGAUUGAGGAACUCAGCACGCCGCAAGGCCGAGUUUUGCUACGUACGUGCUUAGGAUGC